RNAcentral lists this ribosomal RNA (486 nucleotides) under uncultured bacterium. Its description in RNAcentral is "partial 16S ribosomal RNA". It matches the Rfam family "Bacterial small subunit ribosomal RNA", at positions 30 to 507 of the family's 1533-position model. The record is from RNAcentral.
AUUGAACGCUGGCGGCAUGCCUUACACAUGCAAGUCGAACGGCAGCACGGGUGCUUGCACCUGGUGGCGAGUGGCGAACGGGUGAGUAAUACAUCGGAACAUGUCCUGUAGUGGGGGAUAGCCCGGCGAAAGCCGGAUUAAUACCGCAUACGAUCUACGGAUGAAAGCGGGGGACCUUCGGGCCUCGCGCUAUGGGGUUGGCCGAUGGCUGAUUAGCUAGUUGGUGGGGUAAAGGCCUACCAAGGCGACGAUCAGUAGAUGGUCUGAGAGGACGACCAGCCACACUGGGACUGAGACACGGCCCAGACUCCUACGGGAGGCAGCAGUGGGGAAUUUUGGACAAUGGGCGAAAGCCUGAUCCAGCAAUGCCGCGUGUGUGAAGAAGGCCUUCGGGUUGUAAAGCACUUUUGUCCGGAAAGAAAUCCUUGGCUCUAAUACAGUCGGGGGAUGACGGUACCGGAAGAAUAAGCACCGGCUAACUACGUG